ACGUAAGGGGCAAGCGUUGUCCGGACUCACUGGGCGUAAAGCGCGCGUAGGCGGUUUGGUCAGUCGGGUGUGAAAUCCUCGGGCUCAACCCGGGAACUGCGCCCGAUACUGCCAUACUGGAGGGACGGAGAGGUACACGGAAUUCCCGGUGUAGGGGUGAAAUCCAUAGAGAUCGGGAGGAACACCAAUGGCGAAGGCAGUGUACUGGACGUCACCUGACGCUGAGGUGCGAAAGCGUGGGGAGCGAACGGGA
RNAcentral lists this ribosomal RNA (253 nucleotides) under uncultured prokaryote. RNAcentral's name for it is "partial 16S ribosomal RNA". It matches the Rfam family "Bacterial small subunit ribosomal RNA", at positions 525 to 777 of the family's 1533-position model. The record is from RNAcentral.